AAUGAACUGCUCUCACUGGCAGAUCGAUGAUGACCACUUCCCAUAGGACUGGCAGUCAAACACCUGUCAGGGGCCUGAGAACUCAACAAAGAAGCAAUAACUCCUGUUAUUUUCUCAAUCCAAUCCAUUUGGUCCAAGGCACUCUCUGCCUGCAAGGUGUAGCUCUUUGUAGGGGAGAUAAUCCUGAAGCAAAACCGCAGAUCUGAUUGGUCAGCAUCAACCUUUAUAGUUGAUGUCAAAAGGUUUACAGUGUGAUGAGCAACAGACUUUUCAUCGUGUACACCACCAUGAUAAUGGGACGAAAGCCAGCGACUAAGAAGUCCAGAACCAAGCUCUGAACUAUUUCUCUGGCCAGAAUGUUGACUACCUGACCCAGAUGGUUUUGUGUUCUGUUUGCGAUAGUAAUACAACAUU
RNAcentral lists this unclassified non-coding RNA (414 nucleotides) under Hevea brasiliensis (rubber tree). Lineage: Eukaryota; Viridiplantae; Streptophyta; Magnoliopsida; Malpighiales; Euphorbiaceae. The record is from RNAcentral.